Molecule: ribosomal RNA, 719 nt
Filed under: Phlegmacium subcyanites
Lineage: Eukaryota; Fungi; Basidiomycota; Agaricomycetes; Agaricales; Cortinariaceae
Description: eukaryotic LSU rRNA
Rfam family: 5.8S ribosomal RNA (bases 318-471)
Source: RNAcentral
UAGAGGAAGUAAAAGUCGUAACAAGGUUUCCGUAGGUGAACCUGCGGAAGGAUCAUUAUUGAAAUAAACUGAUAGGUUGCUGCUGGCUCUCUAGGGAGCAUGUGCACACUUGUCGUCUUUAUUAUAUCUCCACCUGUGCACCUUGUGUAGACUGUGGAUAUAUCUUUCUGAGUGGGCUGUGCCUAUCUUAGGUUUUGAGGAUUUGACUGUAUUGUCUGUCUAUCCUUGUCAUGUCCGGGGUCUAUGUGUAAUCAUACACUCUCUUAAUUAAUGUUAUAGAAUGUAAUCAAUAGAUCUUUGUGUCUAUAAAACUAUACAACUUUCAGCAACGGAUCUCUUGGCUCUCGCAUCGAUGAAGAACGCAGCGAAAUGCGAUAAGUAAUGUGAAUUGCAGAAUUCAGUGAAUCAUCGAAUCUUUGAACGCACCUUGCGCUCCUUGGUAUUCCGAGGAGCAUGCUUGUUUGAGUGUCAUUAAUAUAUAUCAGCCUCGUCAAACUUGUUGCUUGUUGAGUGUUGGAUGGUGGGGGUUGCUGGGUCUACUUACUAAGUGGGUCAGCUCCUCUAAAAUGUAUUAGCAAAACAAUUUGUCGAUUCGUUCAUUUGGUGUGAUAAUUAUCUACACUAUUGACGUGAAGCAGGUUUGGCUUCUAACAGUCUAUUAACUUGGACAAGUUUAUCAAUGUGACCUCAAAUCAGGUAGGACUACCCGCUGAACUUAA